This 253-nucleotide ribosomal RNA is filed under the name uncultured bacterium. RNAcentral's name for it is "partial 16S ribosomal RNA". It matches the Rfam family "Bacterial small subunit ribosomal RNA", at positions 524 to 776 of the family's 1533-position model. The record is from RNAcentral.
UACGUAGGGUGCAAGCGUUGUCCGGAAUUAUUGGGCGUAAAGAGCUCGUAGGCGGUCUGUCGCGUCUGCUGUGAAAACUCGGGGCUUAACCCCGGGCCUGCAGUGGGUACGGGCAGACUAGAGUGCGGUAGGGGAGACUGGAAUUCCUGGUGUAGCGGUGAAAUGCGCAGAUAUCAGGAGGAACACCGGUGGCGAAGGCGGCAUCCUGGACCGGUAUUGACACUGAGGCGCGAAAGCCAGGGGAGCAAACGGG